Molecule: transfer RNA, 73 nt
Filed under: Bacteroidota bacterium
Lineage: Bacteria; Pseudomonadati; Bacteroidota
Description: Bacteroidetes bacterium (groundwater metagenome) tRNA-Pro
Rfam family: tRNA
About the family: Transfer RNA (tRNA) molecules are approximately 80 nucleotides in length.
Source: RNAcentral
GGGAUGUAGCGAAGUCCGGUAUCGCGCCACGUUCGGGACGUGGAGAUCGUGGGUUCAAAUCCCGCCAUCCCCA